GUGGCCUUAACCUGGGUAAGUCCGAACGAGACCUUCGGGUCUAGUGGCGCACGGGUGCGUAACGCGUGGGUUUCUGCCCUUUGGUUCGGAAUAACUCAGGGAAACUUGAGCUAAUACCGGAUGAUGACUUCGGUCCAAAGAUUUAUCGCCAAAGGAUGAGCCCGCGUAGGAUUAGCUAGUUGGUGAGGUAAAGGCUCACCAAGGCGACGAUCCUUAGCUGGUCUGAGAGGAUGAUCAGCCACACUGGGACUGAGACGGCCCAGACUCCUACGGGAGGCAGCAGUGGAGAAUUGUUCGCAAUGGGCGCAAGCCUGACGACGCAACGCCGCGUGGAGGAUGAAGGUCUUCGGAUUGGGGGGGCCUGUUGCCCGGGACGAAUUGCAUCGACCUAAUACGUCGAUGUUUGACGGUACCGGGUGAGGAAGCCCCGGCUAACUCUGUGCCAGCAGCCGCGGUAAUA
RNAcentral lists this ribosomal RNA (460 nucleotides) under uncultured Novosphingobium sp. Its description in RNAcentral is "bacterial SSU rRNA". It matches the Rfam family "Bacterial small subunit ribosomal RNA", at positions 44 to 525 of the family's 1533-position model. The record is from RNAcentral. Lineage: Bacteria; Pseudomonadati; Pseudomonadota; Alphaproteobacteria; Sphingomonadales; Sphingomonadaceae.